Long non-coding RNA from Capra hircus (goat), 339 nucleotides. RefSeq lists it as uncharacterized. The record is from RefSeq and is a predicted model, not a curated record. NCBI's taxonomy places the organism in Eukaryota, Metazoa, Chordata, Mammalia, Artiodactyla, Bovidae. The transcript has 4 exons.
UGCAGGCAGAUUCUUUAUCAGCCGAGCUACCAAUGGAAGCCCCAGUGGGGAAGAGAAUGACCAGUUAUUAGCAGAGCAUUUAGACAUACUGGAGAACUCAAAAAUCUAGUCCAAACCUGAUGCUUUACCUAUGAAUGGAAUUUGACCCAGAGAAGCCAAGGAUGAGUUCCUGAUCAACCCCAGCCUUAUAGGAUUUUGUUAAAAGAAGAAGGAGUGUGACUGGCCUGGUGUGGGCAAUAUAACCAUCACUCAGAGGAAGAGGAGGCACUUUGAGAGGACUCUCCAAAAGCAAAUUGGAAUGCCAACCUAGCCUAAACACGCAUCAGGGUCUUUUCAAAC